This 274-nucleotide ribosomal RNA is filed under the name uncultured bacterium. Its description in RNAcentral is "partial 16S ribosomal RNA". It matches the Rfam family "Bacterial small subunit ribosomal RNA", at positions 523 to 796 of the family's 1533-position model. The record is from RNAcentral.
AUACGGAGGGUGCAAGCGUUAUUCGGAAUCACUGGGCGUAAAGGACGCGUAGGCGGGUUGGCAAGUCAGAUGUGAAAUCCUACAGCUUAACUGUAGAACUGCAUUUGAAACUGCUAACCUAGAGUAUGGGAGGGGGAGAUGGAAUUAGUGGUGUAGUGGUAAAAUCCGUAGAUAUCACUAGGAAUACCGAAAGCGAAGGCGAUCUCCUGGAACAUAACUGACGCUCAGGCGUGAAAGCGUGGGGAGCAAACAGGAUUAGAAACCCUUGUAGUCC